AGUGAACGCUGGCGGUAGGCCUAACACAUGCAAGUCGAACGGCAGCACAGUAAGAGCUUGCUCUUACGGGUGGCGAGUGGCGGACGGGUGAGGAAUACAUCGGAAUCUACUUUUUCGUGGGGGAUAACGUAGGGAAACUUACGCUAAUACCGCAUACGACCUACGGGUGAAAGCAGGGGAUCUUCGGACCUUGCGCGAUUGAAUGAGCCGAUGUCGGAUUAGCUAGUUGGCGGGGUAAAGGCCCACCAAGGCGACGAUCCGUAGCUGGUCUGAGAGGAUGAUCAGCCACACUGGAACUGAGACACGGUCCAGGCUCCUACGGGAGGCAGCAGUGGGGAAUAUUGGACAAUGGGCGCAAGCCUGAUCCAGCCAUACCGCGUGGGUGAAGAAGGCCUUCGGGUUGUAAAGCCCUCUUGUUGGGAAAGAAAAGCAGCAGGUUAAUACCCCGCUGUUCUGACGGUACCCAAAGAAUAAGCACCGGCUAACUUCGUG
RNAcentral lists this ribosomal RNA (492 nucleotides) under uncultured bacterium. Its description in RNAcentral is "partial 16S ribosomal RNA". It matches the Rfam family "Bacterial small subunit ribosomal RNA", at positions 29 to 507 of the family's 1533-position model. The record is from RNAcentral.